Lonchura striata (white-rumped munia) is the source of this 2226-nucleotide long non-coding RNA. The record is from Ensembl. Lineage: Eukaryota; Metazoa; Chordata; Aves; Passeriformes; Estrildidae.
CCCGCGAGCCCUCACUGCCCUCGGAGCCGCCGGUUCGAGUCCCGCGGCCGCGCCCCGCCCGGCUGAGGGGCUUGGAAAUCCGAGGCUUGGGGAUGUGGUUGGGUCUUUCUGCAGUCUCACGACAAGAACAGUCUGGAGGAAAGGAUGGGAAUUUGGAAACAGGACAUCCCCACUGCUCUUCUGGAUGGGACUGAUGGAAACAGAGCUUCAUGCCUUGGGGGUGAGGGAGCUGUGCCGUGCUGGUCUGUGACAGACGCCAACGCUCCGGCGAGCAGCGACAGCCUCGGGGAGAGCCGUGGAGCCCAUGGAAUAGAGGAGAGUCCCCGGCGCGGUGUCUCCAGCAGGACCCGGAGCAGCCCGAGGCAGGGACAGGAGCCGGACAUGCCCGAGCCAGCCCCGCUCGGCGGGGACAGGAAAGCGGCGGAGAAGAAGCGGGGGGAGAAGGUGGGAGCCAAGGGCAGCGCUGCCGGGCCGCCAGUCCCCAGGACCCUCCCGGUGCAGAGCAAGGUGGAGCCGCCCAGCCUGGACCCUGCGGAGGAGCCGCUGCUCUGGGAAGGGCUCACCCUCAACAAGUGCAUCCUGGUGGCCUCCGUGGUCGCCCUGCUCAGCGUCACCUUCCAGGUGCUCCAAGCUCCAUGCUCCAAGGAGGGACUGGCCCGCGGCCGGCAGGAGCCUCCGCCCCCUCCCGUUCCCGAGGCUGUGAGCCCCAAGGCGGAGAUCCCAGAGGCGGUGACCGCCCAGGCUGAGCCGCCACCGGAGAGCAGCGCGGUGGAGGAUGAUGGUGAUGAUGAAGACGGUGACGAUUACGAUGACAGCGAAGCUGACAGCAACCUGGCAGAACCCUGGAUCUUCAAGAAGUGGUUUGGCCGCGCAACACCAGAGGAUGAGGACAAGGAUGAGGACAAGAAUGGGGACAAGGAUGAGGACAAGGAUGAGGACAAGGAUGAGGAUAAGGAUGAGGAUGAGGAUGAGGACAAGGAUGAAGAACCUGCAGCUGUCCUCGAGGUGCCAGUGGCUGUGAUGGAGGGGAAGAAGAGCCAGGAGAAGAAAGUGGAGAAGGAGGAGGAGGAAGAGGAAGAAAAAGAGGAGAAGGAGAAAGAAAAAGAGGAGAAUGAGGAGGAGGAGGAGAAUGAGAAGAAGGAGGAGGAAGCGGAGGAGGAGAAGGAGGAGAAGAAGAAGGAGGGGAAGAAGGAGAAAGCCCGGGAAGGCCGUGCUGUCCAUGUGGAGCGGAGCAGCCGGAGGGAGGCACGAGCCAAGGACAGGACAGCGGGGGACAAACCUGGCAGAGCCCCCAGGGCCCCCAGGGAAGCCGAGCAGCAGCCCCAGAAGAAGCGAGACCGGGAGAGGAAGGAGAGGAAGGAGAGACGGCGGGAGAGGGAUGAGUCCAGGAGGGACGGGUGGAGGGGCCGUCCCGGCAGGGCUGAGGGUGGCCGGGAGAGCCCGAGGGAGAGCCCGAGGCGGGACUGGAAGCAGCAGAAGGGCAGGAGGCCCUGGGAGCCGGCGCCGGGCAGGGACGGCAGGGCCAGGGAGGGCAAGAGGCGCGACUGAGGCCGGGGUGGGCGUGGGGCUCGAUGGCGCUGGAUCCAGGGGGAUCCAAUCCCACCACUGCCCCCGGCAAGGGACCCCCGGCCCUGCCUGCUCUCCAGAGACACCCCUGGGCACGGGCAGCACACCAGGACCCCUGAGCAGCAGCAGAGCAGCCCAGGAGCCUGGCAUGAGCCUCCCUGGGGACUUUGGGCCCCCCUGGAUCAAAGGCGACCUGAAAGGACUCAUGGAAGGAGCUUCUUCGGGACUCCUUACUUCUCCAUCCCCACCCAAAACCCCUCUGCAGCUCUCCUCCACUCGUGGUUCCAGGGUGAACAGAGUUGUGUCCAGACUGUGCAGCUCUUGGUUAAUGGUUUUAUUGAAAGCAAAUCAGGAGAGAAGAAUAUUCUGGGUUACGGAAGCAGGCUGCAGCCUCCUCCGAGGGACACCAGGGACAGACCCCUGACCUCACCCAGCCCAGUGCCAUCGCUGCGGGGUGGCCCAGAAGGUGACAGAGCAGGGCUGGAGCCCUUCACCCGGGGAUCCCUGCGGGCCUCGCCUUCUCCGAGUCGCUUUUAGGAAGGAAACACAAGAGCAAUAUCACACAGCCAGAGUUCACAGCCCCGACCCAUGGCAGGUUUCAGUGUUUGCUAAAUCAACAGCGGUUAAAAUAAACUAUUUUCAUUUUUAAUAAGGUAUUCA